RNAcentral lists this ribosomal RNA (1355 nucleotides) under metagenome. RNAcentral describes it as "bacterial LSU rRNA". It matches the Rfam family "Bacterial large subunit ribosomal RNA", at positions 1589 to 2925 of the family's 2925-position model. The record is from RNAcentral.
CCUCCAUGAUCCUAUGCUGCCGAGAAAAGCCUCUAGCGAGCUGGUACAUGGCCCGUACCCCAAACCGACACAGGUGGUCAGGUAGAGAAUACUAAGGCGAUCGAGAGAACUGUGGUUAAGGAACUCGGCAAAAUGCCCCCGUAACUUCGGGAGAAGGGGGACCAGUCCUGGUGACGACAUUUACUGUCUGAGCUGGGGUUGGUCGCAGAGACCAGAGAGAAGCGACUGUUUACUAAAAACACAGGUCCGUGCGAAGUCGUAAGACGAUGUAUACGGACUGACGCCUGCCCGGUGCUGGAAGGUUAAGAGGACCGGUCAGCCACUUCGGUGGCGAAGCUGAGAAUUUAAGCCCCAGUAAACGGCGGUGGUAACUAUAACCAUCCUAAGGUAGCGAAAUUCCUUGUCGGGUAAGUUCCGACCUGCACGAAUGGCGUAACGACUUCUCUGCUGUCUCAACCACAGACUCGGCGAAAUUGCAGUACGAGUAAAGAUGCUCGUUACGCGCGGCAGGACGAAAAGACCCCGGGACCUUCACUAUAGCUUGGUAUUGGUGUUCGGUUCGGUUUGUGUAGGAUAGGUGGGAGACUGUGAAACUCGCACGCCAGUGUGGGUGGAGUCAUUGUUGAAAUACCACUCUGACCGUAUUGGACAUCUAACCUCGGACCAUGAUCUGGUUCAGGGACAGUGCCUGGUGGGUAGUUUAACUGGGGCGGUUGCCUCCUAAAAAGUAACGGGGGCGCCCAAAGGUUCCCUCAGCCUGGUUGGCAAUCAGGUGUUGAGUGUAAGUGCACAAGGGAGCUUGACUGUGAGACGUACAUGUCGAGCAGGGACGAAAGUCGGGACUAGUGAUCCGGCACCGGCAAGUGGAAGCGGUGUCGCUCAACGGAUAAAAGGUACCCCGGGGAUAACAGGCUGAUCUUCCCCAAGAGUCCAUAUCGACGGGAUGGUUUGGCACCUCGAUGUCGGCUCGUCGCAUCCUGGGGCUGGAGUAGGUCCCAAGGGUUGGGCUGUUCGCCCAUUAAAGCGGCACGCGAGCUGGGUUUAGAACGUCGUGAGACAGUUCGGUCUCUAUCCGCCGCGCGCGUAAGGAACUUGAGGAAACCUGUCCCUAGUACGAGAGGACCGGGACGGACGAACCUCUGGUGUGCCAGUUGUUCCACCAGGAGCACCGCUGGUUAGCUACGUUCGGAAGGGAUAACCGCUGAAAGCAUCUAAGCGGGAAGCCUGUUCCAAGAUGAGGUUUCUCACCACCUAGCGUGGUUAAGGCCCCCCACAGACCAUGGGGUUGAUAGGCCAGAACUGUAAGCACAGCAAUGUGUUCAGGUGACUGGUACUAAUCGGCCGAGGACUUACAU